Molecule: ribosomal RNA, 557 nt
Filed under: Phyllobacterium sp. HRTP151
Lineage: Bacteria; Pseudomonadati; Pseudomonadota; Alphaproteobacteria; Hyphomicrobiales; Phyllobacteriaceae
Also listed under: 1 other name
Description: bacterial SSU rRNA
Rfam family: Bacterial small subunit ribosomal RNA
Source: RNAcentral
ACGGGUGAGUAACGCGUGGGAAUCUACCCCUUACUACGGAAUAACGCAGGGAAACUUGUGCUAAUACCGUAUGUGGCCGAGAGGCGAAAGAUUUAUCGGUAAGGGAUGAGCCCGCGUUGGAUUAGCUAGUUGGUGGGGUAAAGGCCUACCAAGGCGACGAUCCAUAGCUGGUCUGAGAGGAUGAUCAGCCACACUGGGACUGAGACACGGCCCAGACUCCUACGGGAGGCAGCAGUGGGGAAUAUUGGACAAUGGGCGCAAGCCUGAUCCAGCCAUGCCGCGUGAGUGAUGAAGGCCCUAGGGUUGUAAAGCUCUUUCACCGGUGAAGAUAAUGACGGUAACCGGAGAAGAAGCCCCGGCUAACUUCGUGCCAGCAGCCGCGGUAAUACGAAGGGGGCUAGCGUUGUUCGGAUUUACUGGGCGUAAAGCGCACGUAGGCGGACUAUUAAGUCAGGGGUGAAAUCCCGGGGCUCAACCCCGGAACUGCCUUUGAUACUGGUAGUCUUGAGUUCGAGAGAGGUGAGUGGAAUUCCGAGUGUAGAGGUGAAAUUCGUAGA